RNAcentral lists this ribosomal RNA (490 nucleotides) under uncultured bacterium. Its description in RNAcentral is "partial 16S ribosomal RNA". It matches the Rfam family "Bacterial small subunit ribosomal RNA", at positions 30 to 507 of the family's 1533-position model. The record is from RNAcentral.
UGAACGCUGGCGGUAGGCCUACCACAUGCACGUCGAACGGCAGCACAGUAAGAGCUUGCUCUUACGGGUGGCGAGUGGCGGACGGGUGAGGAAUACAUCGGAAUCUACUUUUUCGUGGGGGAUAACGUAGGGAAACUUACGCUAAUACCGCAUACGACCUACGGGUGAAAGCAGGGGAUCUUCGGACCUUGCGCGAUUGAAUGAGCCGAUGUCGGAUUAGCUAGUUGGCGGGGUAAAGGCCCACCAAGGCGACGAUCCGUAGCUGGUCUGAGAGGAUGAUCAGCCACACUGGAACUGAGACACGGUCCAGACUCCUACGGGAGGCAGCAGUGGGGAAUAUUGGACAAUGGGCGCAAGCCUGGUCCAGCCAUACCGCGUGGGUGAAGAAGGCCUUCGGGUUGUAAAGCCCUUUUGUUGGGAAAGAAAAGCAGCAGGUUAAUACCCCGCUGUUCUGACGGUACCCAAAGAAUAAGCACCGGCUAACUUCGUG